GUGAGCGGUUCAUCUUUUUAUUUUCACCUUGUUCAUACUGACACUUUAAUAAGUAUUUAUCUGUUCAGCAGUAGAUAUUAUUUCAUCUGGUGCAGGACCUACCAAACAAAAUAAAUAAUUCAAUCCAAAGUGCAAAUAGUGUAAUUACGUAUAUAAACGAAUCAUAAAAACAAAUAGUGCAGGACAAGGAGUAUAGAAAAGUGCACAACCCUAACCUUAAUCUUAGCCCUAAACAUAACCAGAUCCUCAGAUAGGAGAUUCUGCCUCAAUAGGACCAGAUUUUGGUUUCCAUGGGGUCUGACAAAGUCACUGUUUAUGGCAGAAAAGGUCCUAAAGAGGCAACAAAUAAAAGUACUAACGCUAACCCUCCUGAAUGGUUACCAGGACAACGGUUGAGCAUUUCGGACGGCGCUGUUAAGUACUCCCGACCAUGUGGUGGCGCUGUCUGGAGCUCGCUACAUCCUGUCCAACAGCUCCGCUGCCUACGUCACCACAUUUCUGUGAACGCGAUGUAACGUUGUGUAAAACUUUGAAGUUGGUCUCCAGAAACACUGUCAAACACAGGUUCACAAUGAGGGAAACGACUCUGCUGCUCAUGUUAGUGUGUCUGCUCCUGGGCCUCAGCCAGGCAGCCAGACAGGGACAGGACAUCAGAUGUGGAGCCUGCAGGGCUCUGGUAGAUGAGAUGGAGUGGGCCAUUUCCCAGAUAGACCCAAAGAAAAUGAUCCAGACCGGGUCUUUUAGGAUCAACCCGGACGGAAGCCAGUCCAUCAGAGAGGUUCCUCUGGCUCGCUCUGAGGGAAACCUCCUGGAGCUCAUGGAGAGCGUGUGUGAGAGGAUGGAGGACUAUGGAGAGAGCACAGAUUCCUCAACAGACAGGAAGUCCUACAUUAGAGUCAAAUCUCGGAGUGGCGAGCCCAUGGACCUUUCGGAGGCUGCGCUGGAUUCAAGAGUUACAGCCAGCUUAAAAUUUGCAUGUGAAACAAUUGUUGAGCAGAAUGAAGAUGAAAUCAUUGAAUUCUUUGCUCACGAGACAGAUAAUGUUAAAGACAAACUCUGCAGUAAGAGAACCGACCUCUGUGAUCACGCUCUGAAAAUGCCUCAUGAUGAGCUUUGAUAUCGCCUCGACACAACUGCCAUCUCUUCUCAGCAGAAAUGGAGACACUUGGUGCUUUAUAGGUUUCAGUCAUUACUUUUCACUUUAAAGUUUAAGCCCUGGCAGUUGUUUGAGAAAAUUUGUAAAAUAGUCGGGCAUACCUCUUAAAAACUAAAAGUGUUAAUCCUGUUACCAUGAAAACUUUCCUUGACACUCUUGUCAUUUGUUUACAGUAAGUUAUUAGUUAUUACAAAUUUACUUUUCUCUCGGCUUUACUAGAUGUCUUUACUCGAUAAAGCUGAAACUGUGAAACUGCAAAAAGUAAGUUGAAUUUCAACGUUUUUUUCCAGGUAUAUAUUAAACAAAAAUAAAAUAAAAUAAAAUGAAAUGAAAUGAAAUAAUAAUAAAAAAAGUGGAUAGUGAUAAGGCUGAAUAUAUUCAUGGCCGCAACAUGAAGUAUUUGAUGUCGCUAGCGUCAUUUGAUACUAAAUUAUGCUUUCAUGUAUUUUUAUUGUCAACAAAAUGUACUUAACAAUCUGUAACUGAUGAUGCCAGGUUUGUUUUCUGUUAAGAAAACAUUGAAAUUGCACAAAUUGUAAGGGAGAGUAUAUAAGAUAAGGAAUGAAACUGAUUUAAGUCAAAGUAGUUCCAUUGUGCAAAAGAGAGAGAGAGAGUGGCUUUAUUACUGAACAAAUGUAUCACACUACUUAAAUGACUGAUCUCCUCUUAGUCAUUAGAGGAACCUCAGUAAUGUUGUUGUGAAAUGAAUUACAGUACUGAUCACAUGUUUUCCUCUACAGAUAUUAGCAACUGAAUAUUACACUCCCAUGGAAUUAUUUCUUUAAUUUGGACAGUGAAACAUGAAAUAUUGGAGACUACUUCUGUUUCAAGCUGCUGUCUCAUCAUUUAUUUCACCAGAGCAGGAUCCCUCGCCGUCAGCCCCUGCAAACACUUGGUCAAGUUGAAUUUCCUGAACCUCAUCUUCCUCUGUUACAAUAACAGUGUCUCCAGAGCUGUGGCUGCUGCAGGACAGCGUGUCUUCCUCAACACUGUGUUCAGUACAGCAUGGAUCCUGCUUGGCUACAGUCUCAGAGUUCAUGUUGAAUACUGCAUCUGGGAAGCCCAUACCCUCCCGUAGGCUCUCUGGAUCCCAGUGCUCGCUUACUUCCUCUUCCUCAUUCUCAGAAUCAGGCGCUGUAUGUUUCCUGAUGCGAUUCACAGCAUCCCAUAAGGACUUGGGAUAUUGGUGGGGCAAGUCAAAGAAAACACCUUCACCUUCUCCAUGAGGGGGAGUAAAAAUGUCUGGAGUCCAAUCUGGGAGUAAUUCAUUGGUAGAAGAAGAUGAAAAUGGAGAAGACUCUUCACAAGAGUCAAAAAGCAGAGAAUGUGAGAUGGUUUCUCUAAUGCCAACAUCAGCACUGAUGGGAUUUAGAGCUGAGCAACAGGCUGAGUCUAGUUCCAGGCAGUCAGAAACAUGCUCUAUGUUUGACUCGAUGUGUGAUGGAGAAGGAAGCUCUGAGAGAAAGAGUAAAUCUGGUGAUGGAGACACCUUGCUGUCUGGGCCAGAUGGUUCAUAGUCAGAUCCACUGUUCUGCAAAAUUUCAAUCUCUUCUUGGGAUACUGAUUGUUCCUCGUCACAUUCUAUUUCUGAUGGCUCUUCAGCUGUUAAACUAUUCAUAACAUAAGACACAUUCUCUUCUUGGCUGAAACAAAAUUGUUCCUGCACAAUUUUUACAUCUACGUGAGUUUGACAAUCAACUGCAGUGUCUUUGAAUGUUUCAGACCUCUGAACUUCAUGACCUGUAUCUUCACUGGCUUCUCUCUGUGACCGUUCUUCAGUCACAAAACUCUCUGUUGCACAGGAAACGCCUUUUUCUUGGUCAUCAUCAAAAAGCAACAUAUUGAUCUUGUCAUGAUUGGUCUUGUUUUGUGUGUCUGUUGUGCUUUCCUGUAGUGUUGUAGUUUUCAAAAGUCCUUUUGGAUCCUUGCUGGCUUUUUGUUGUAGUUGCUCUUUGGUAAGAUGACUUACUUUAUUACAAGUGAUAUCGUCUGCUUGUUUUUGUAGAAUGUCGACAUCUAUAGCAUUUUCUUUGGACGGUUCAAGAGUCUGUUCCCAAAGGUCUUCAGGGUCACUGUCUGCUUCUGUUUGUUGCUCAUCAGUGAUGUUGCGUUCUUCUUCACAAGUGUCAUUGUCUGAUUUGUCUUCUCCACAAGUAUCAUUGUCUGAUUUCUCUUCUCCACAAGUAUCAUUGUCUGAUUUCUCUUCUCCACAAGUAUCAUUGUCUGAUUUCUCUUCUCCACAAGUAUCAUUGUCUGAUUUCUCUUCUCCACAAGUAUCAUUGUCUGAUUUGUCUUCUCCACAAGUAUCAUUGUUUA
Molecule: RNA transcript, 3472 nt
Organism: Solea solea (common sole)
Lineage: Eukaryota; Metazoa; Chordata; Actinopteri; Pleuronectiformes; Soleidae
Gene: cnpy2
Gene name: canopy FGF signaling regulator 2
Exons: 7
Source: RefSeq, a predicted model, not a curated record